GAAAUAUUGCAGCUUAACUGUAACAGUGCCGUUGAUACUGUAGAGCUAGGAUUAGGUUGCUGUGGGCGGAAUGUGUGGUGUAGCGGUGAAAUGCUUAGAGAUCACACAGAAUAUCGAUUGCGAAGGCAGCUCACAAAGCCUAAAUUGACGCUGAGGCACGAAAGUGUGGGGAUCGAACAGGAUUAGAUACCCUGGUAGUCCACACUGUAAACGAUGAUAACUCGCUGUCGGCGAUAUACAGUCGGUGGCCAAGCGAAAGCGAUAAGUUAUCCACCUGGGGAGUACGACCGCAAGGUUGAAACUCAAAGGAAUUGACGGGGGCCCGCACAAGCGGAGGAACAUGUGGUUUAAUUCGAUGAUACGCGAGGAACCUUACCCGGGCUCGAACGGUGCAUGAAUGUCAGAGAGAUUUGACAGUCCUUCGGGACAUGUAUCGAGGUGCUGCAUGGUUGUCGUCAGCUCGUGCCGUGGGGUGUCGGCUUAAGUGCCAUAACGAGCGCAACCCUUGUUGACAGUUACCAUCAUGUAAAGCUGGGGACUCUGUCGAGACUGCCACCGUAAGGUGUGAGGAAGGGGGGGAUGACGUCAAAUCAGCACGGCCCUUAUGUCCGGGGCGACACACGUGUUACAAUGGGAGGUACAGAGGGCAGCUAUCCAGUGAUGGAGUGCAAAUCUCAAAAACCUUUCUCAGUUCGGAUUGGAGUCUGCAACUCGACUCCAUGAAGUUGGAUUCGCUAGUAAUCGCGCAUCAGCCAUGGCGCGGUGAAUACGUUCCCGGGCCUUGUACACACCGCCCGUCAAGCCAUGGAAGCUUGGGGGUGCUUGAAGUUCGUGACCGCAAGGAGCGACCUAU
RNAcentral lists this ribosomal RNA (853 nucleotides) under uncultured bacterium. RNAcentral's name for it is "bacterial SSU rRNA". It matches the Rfam family "Bacterial small subunit ribosomal RNA", at positions 596 to 1460 of the family's 1533-position model. The record is from RNAcentral.